RNAcentral lists this ribosomal RNA (467 nucleotides) under uncultured bacterium. Its description in RNAcentral is "partial 16S ribosomal RNA". It matches the Rfam family "Bacterial small subunit ribosomal RNA", at positions 29 to 507 of the family's 1533-position model. The record is from RNAcentral.
ACGAACGCUGGCGGCGUGCUUAACACAUGCCAGUCGAACGGAAAGGCCCUGCUUUUGUGGGGUGCUCGAGUGGCGAACGGAUGAGUAACACGUGAGUAACCUGCCCUUGACUUUGGGAUAACUUCAGGAAACUGGGGCUAAUACCGGAUAGGAGCUCCUGCUGCAUGGUGGGGGUUGGAAAGUUUCGGCGGUUGGGGAUGGACUCGCGGCUUAUCAGCUUGUUGGUGGGGUAGUGGCUUACCAAGGCUUUGACGGGUAGCCGGCCUGAGAGGGUGACCGGCCACAUUGGGACUGAGAUACGGCCCAGACUCCUACGGGAGGCAGCAGUGGGGAAUAUUGCACAAUGGGCGGAAGCCUGAUGCAGCAACGCCGCGUGCGGGAUGACGGCCUUCGGGUUGUAAACCGCUUUCGCCUGUGACGAAGCGUGAGUGACGGUAAUGGGUAAAGAAGCACCGGCUAACUACGUG